GUCUCUUAUAGUGAAUCAAUUAAACUGAUCUCCUAGUAAAAAAGCUAGAAUUACAACAUAAGACCAGAAGACCCUGUGAAGCUUAAAUAAAACUAUUAAACCAUAUAAUAGCUACUUUCGGUUGGGGCGACCUUGGAAAAAAAAAGAACUUCCAAAUAAAAUGAAUAUACCUCAUUAUCUAAACAGGCCAACAAGCCAAAAAUGACCCAGCACAGCUGAUAAUUGAACCAAGUUACUCCAGGGAUAACAGCGCAAUCUUCUUCAAGAGCCCAUAUCAAAAAGAAGGUUUACGACCUCGAUGUUGGAUCAGGACAUCCUAAUGGUGCAGCCGCUAUUAAGGGUUCGUUUGUUCAACGAUUAAUA
This 363-nucleotide ribosomal RNA is filed under the name Coronella austriaca. Its description in RNAcentral is "partial large subunit ribosomal RNA". It matches the Rfam family "Bacterial large subunit ribosomal RNA", at positions 2018 to 2593 of the family's 2925-position model. The record is from RNAcentral. Lineage: Eukaryota; Metazoa; Chordata; Lepidosauria; Squamata; Colubridae.